GACGAACGCUGGCGGCGUGCCUAAUACAUGCAAGUUGAGCGCUGAAGGUUGGUACUUGUACCGACUGGAUGAGCAGCGAACGGGUGAGUAACGCGUGGGGAAUCUGCCUUUGAGCGGGGGACAACAUUUGGAAACGAAUGCUAAUACCGCAUAAAAACUUUAAACACAAGUUUUAAGUUUGAAAGAUGCAAUUGCAUCACUCAAAGAUGAUCCCGCGUUGUAUUAGCUAGUUGGUGAGGUAAAGGCUCACCAAGGCGAUGAUACAUAGCCGACCUGAGAGGGUGAUCGGCCACAUUGGGACUGAGACACGGCCCAAACUCCUACGGGAGGGAGCAGUAGGGAACCUUCGGCAAUGGACGAAAGUCUGACCGAGCAACGCCGCGUGAGUGAAGAAGGUUUUCGGAUCGUAAAACUCUGUUGGUAGAGAAGAACGUUGGUGAGAGUGGAAAGCUCAUCAAGUGACGGUAACUACCCAGAAAGGGACGGCUAACUACGUG
RNAcentral lists this ribosomal RNA (497 nucleotides) under uncultured bacterium. RNAcentral's name for it is "partial 16S ribosomal RNA". It matches the Rfam family "Bacterial small subunit ribosomal RNA", at positions 28 to 507 of the family's 1533-position model. The record is from RNAcentral.